Molecule: ribosomal RNA, 468 nt
Filed under: uncultured bacterium
Lineage: Bacteria
Description: partial 16S ribosomal RNA
Rfam family: Bacterial small subunit ribosomal RNA
Source: RNAcentral
GACGAACGCUGGCGGCGUGCUUAACACAUGCAAGUCGAACGGAAAGGCCCUGCUUUUGUGGGGUGCUCGAGUGGCGAACGGGUGAGUAACACGUGAGUAACCUGCCCUUGACUUUGGGAUAACUUCAGGAAACUGGGGCUAAUACCGGAUAGGAGCUCCUGCUGCAUGGUGGGGGUUGGAAAGUUUCGGCGGUUGGGGAUGGACUCGCGGCUUAUCAGCUUGUUGGUGGGGUAGUGGCUUACCAAGGCUUUGACGGGUAGCCGGCCUGAGAGGGUGACCGGCAAAAUGGGGAAUGAAAGACGGCCAAGACUCCGACGGGGGGAAGAAGGGGGGAAUAUGGAAAAAGGGGCGGAGGCUGAAAGCAGAAACGCCGGGGGGGGGAUGAGGGCCUUCGGGUUUUAACCCGCUUUCGCCGGUAAAGAAGGGGGAGGGAGGGAAAGGGGUAAAGAAAAACCGGAAAAAUACGUC